Molecule: ribosomal RNA, 253 nt
Filed under: uncultured bacterium
Lineage: Bacteria
Description: partial 16S ribosomal RNA
Rfam family: Bacterial small subunit ribosomal RNA
Source: RNAcentral
UACGAAGGGGGCUAGCGUUGCUCGGAUUGACUGGGCGUAAAGGGCGCGUAGGCGGUUCGUACAGUCAGACGUGAAAUCCCUGGGCUCAACCCAGGAACUGCGUCCAAGACUGGGAGGCUUGAAUCCGGGAGAGGGAUGCGGAAUUCCAGGUGUAGCGGUGAAAUGCGUAGAUAUCUGGAGGAACACCGGUGGCGAAGGCGGCAUCCUGGACCGGUAUUGACACUGAGGCGCGAAAGCCAGGGGAGCAAACGGG